CCAGAGCUGGAAUCACCUGUGUGUGAAGUGCAGGUUAGAAAUGAUCAGCUCCUCUGUGAUCACACCUCACCUGGCAGAGGUGUGAGGAGCAGCUCCAAAACUCCUCCAAGACUGCUUAAAACAUCUUUUAAUUUUUACCUUUUUGGUUUUAGUACAAUAAAGAACCAUAAGUCUGGAAAGAGAGCUGUUACCUGGUGUCACCUCAGUUUCAAUGUUUAGGUUACACAGAGAUGAGCAUCCUUGGAGCACCCCCAGAAUUAAAAACGACCAGACAUCAGUGUUGUUAUGCAGGAAAGGUACAGCAGCUCCUGCCCUGAGUUUCUGGAAGCAUUCACUGCAGACACAAGCAGCAAAGAACAUCCCUCCUGUGCUGCCUCAGAAGGGAAGCAGCAUGGAUGGACUGAGACCCCACAGAAGGAGUGAUGUGGCAGCAGGGGAAAUUCAGCUGUAAAAUGUGUCUUCAUUUACAGACACCUCCUUAGGGCCUCCCUAGUCACAGUCUCAAUUGUUCCUUUAUCAACUUUCUAAAGAGGAAAAUUGCAAAUUGCCUCUGAAAUCUUCCAACUCUUCCCCCUAAGACUGAACUUUUUACAUUAUUUAGAAGAGAGGGGCUCUUUUCUCUGUAAUGGGUCAUGUCUGGGGACUGGUAAAUUAAUACUUGUUUACUUAUAUCCUCCUGCUGUUCUGUUCAAAUACAUUCCAAGGGCUCCUCUUGCUGCAUUAAGGAUAUCAGCAUGUUGUUUGUUUUAUAACCUGGGAGAGAGCAUAACAAUAUAGCUUCUCACCAGGGUGCACACCAGC
This is a long non-coding RNA of Passer domesticus (house sparrow), 801 nucleotides long. RefSeq lists it as uncharacterized. NCBI's taxonomy places the organism in Eukaryota, Metazoa, Chordata, Aves, Passeriformes, Passeridae. The transcript has 3 exons. The record is from RefSeq and is a predicted model, not a curated record.